This 568-nucleotide long non-coding RNA is filed under the name Elaeis guineensis (African oil palm). RNAcentral describes it as "long non-coding RNA (EGUI_LNC048565)". Lineage: Eukaryota; Viridiplantae; Streptophyta; Magnoliopsida; Arecales; Arecaceae. The record is from RNAcentral.
AAAAUUGAAAGAGUUUUUGAUUUCUAAAACUCUAUCUCAUAGAAUUCGAAAUCCAAACUUAUUCCUUUUAGAUUUGAUCCAAACCACCUUCCAUGUAAGAAAGAAGAGAGGAGACCUUUUGUGAACGUGGGAGAGAUCUGGGAGAGGGCUUUUGUCGCAUAAAAUAAGUGGAGAUUGGUGUUGAAUAAGAGAGAGGGCAUGGAGAAGGCUUAUGUGGUGCAAGGUGGAAUCCUAGUCUUACUAGGAUUCUGUCUUAUGACUUGUUUUAAUUUGGUUUCCCAAAUCAAAUUAAAUCAAAAUUAGAUCAACCUAAUUAAAAUAGGUCUUAACCCAAUUAAGAAUCUAAUUUAAUCAGAUUAAAUUAGAUUUAAAUCUGAUUUAAUUUUCUAAUCAAAUUAGAAAUUAGAUUGACCCAAGUCCUAGUUGAACUAGGACUAGUUUUUCCUUGCACUUGGCUUAUCCAAUAAACCAAUUGGACUUGAUCCAAUCAAGCCCAAACCAAAUAUAAUUAAAUUAUAUUUAAUUAGACUUAAUCUCAGCCCAUUGGCUUAAUCAAAUUAAGCCAAUC